This 991-nucleotide long non-coding RNA is filed under the name Phoenix dactylifera (date palm). RNAcentral's name for it is "long non-coding RNA (PDAC_LNC015700)". Lineage: Eukaryota; Viridiplantae; Streptophyta; Magnoliopsida; Arecales; Arecaceae. The record is from RNAcentral.
UUUUUUUUUUUACUUCGUGGUGAGAACAGGGAAGGCCACCCGAUUUCGUAUGGGAAGGAAAGAGGCCGCCUGUAUUUAUAGUCGUCCCAUCAUCAUUAAGGGUGAUAUGACAUUCCACCACCUAUUAUAUGCUAAGCCAUUUUUUUUUAUUUUGUGGUGAGAACCGAAAAGGCCACCCAAUUUCGUACGAAAAGGGUGGAGAAAGGCCGCCCGUAUAUAUAGCCAUCCCAUCAACAACAUGGCAUUCUGCCUAUGACCGAUUGUUGCCCUAAGAGUGGAGAGGCAUGAUCUAGAGCUUAAGAUAAAUACUAUUGUACCACUCCCCCCAACUCUUGCCUUUGCAUUGUUUUUUUAAUAAAAAACAAUUUUAGCUUGAUUUUUACCGGUAGAGACUGUAAACCUACGGAUUGCAGGUCUAAAUGGAUAAUUUGGAUUCGGGUCACAUCGGAUCGAGUCGUUGGAUAAAUGAUCUAAAAUUGACCCCAAAAAAAAUGGAUCGAGUCAGCUCUCUGAGUCGAGUUAAGAUUCAGCAAACCCAGACCCGACCUGAAAAAUAGAACAAAACCAAUUUUAAGACCCGACCUGACCCCGUAGGUCCUCCAAAUUAGGUCGAAUCAAGUCUAAGUGAGUCGAAUCGGGUCAUAAGUCAAUCCAACCCAUUUGCAGCUUUCGCUCCGAGACAAGGAGAUCCUAUCUUCACAAAUCAUCUCUUCAUUUAGCACUCCUACUUCUACCUACAGCUACUACAGAUAAAUUGGUGGAUUCAUGGAUAAUGAGACACAAAUUUACAGUACAUAUAACCAGACACCCUACUCUCUCUUCACAAUAUACAGUAAAAUGGUAUGCGGUCCUAUUACACUUCCAUUCCACAACACAAGGCAUAUCACAACUUAGAGACAGGUAAAAAGAAACACUGUUAAUGUAAUUAUGCAAGAUCUUCAGCUAGCCUGAACAGCAUUUACUUUAUCAGCCCCCACCACAGAGGGCUCCU